This 423-nucleotide ribosomal RNA is filed under the name uncultured bacterium. RNAcentral's name for it is "partial 16S ribosomal RNA". It matches the Rfam family "Bacterial small subunit ribosomal RNA", at positions 360 to 774 of the family's 1533-position model. The record is from RNAcentral.
AAUCUUCCGCAAUGGACGAAAUUCUGACGGAGCAACGCCGUGUGAGCGAUGAAGGUCUUUGGAUCGUAAAAACCUGUUGCUAGGGAAGAACAAGGAUCGGUCAGAUAGGGCGGUACCUUGACGGUACGUAACCAUAAAGCCACGUCAAACUACGGGCGAGCAGCGGCGGUAAUACGUAGGUGGCAGGCGUUAUCCGGAAUUAUUGGGCGUAAGGCGCGCGCAGGCGGUUUCUUAAGUCUGAUGUGAAAGCCCACGGCUCAACCGUGGAGGGGCAUUGGAAACUGGGAAGCUUGAGUGCAGAAGAGGAGGGUGGAAUUCCAUGUGUAGCGGUGAAAUGCGUAGAGAUAUGGAGGAACACCAGUGGCGAAGGCGACUCUCUGGUCUGCAACUGACGCUGAGGCGCGAAAGCGUGGGGAGCGAACA